Molecule: transfer RNA, 65 nt
Filed under: Calcaritermes temnocephalus
Lineage: Eukaryota; Metazoa; Arthropoda; Insecta; Blattodea; Kalotermitidae
Description: tRNA-Gly
Source: RNAcentral
ACUCACCUAAUAUAAUAAGUAUACUUGACUUCCAAUCAAGAAGUUUGAAAUAAUCAAGGUAAGUA